AUCUGCCCAUGAUUUUUAAAUGGCUGCGGUAAUUUGACCGUACAAAGGUAGCAUAAUAAUUAGUCUUUUAAUUGAAGUCUGGUAUGAAUGAUUUGAUGAAAAAAUAACUUUCUUUAAUUUUUAUUAUUAAAAUUUGAUUUUUGAGUGAAAAAGCUUAAAUUUUUUUUUGGGACAAUAAGACCCUAUAGAGCUUUAUAAAUUUAUUUAUAAAUUUUUUUUGGAUUAUAAUAAUUUUUUGUUUAAAAAUUUAUUUGGUUGGGGUGACAAAUGAAAUUUUUUAUCUUUAAUUUUAUAAAUUCAUUUUUUUUUUGAUUUUUUUGAUCCAUAUUUUGUGAUUAUAAGAUAAAGUUACCUUAGGGAUAACAGCGUAAUUUAUUUGUAGAGUUCUUAUCGAUAAAUAAGUUUGCGACCUCGAUGUUGGAUUAAGAUUAGUUAGGGGUGAAGAUUUUCUUUAU
RNAcentral lists this ribosomal RNA (455 nucleotides) under Taihorina geisha. RNAcentral describes it as "Hindola geisha partial 16S ribosomal RNA". The record is from RNAcentral. Lineage: Eukaryota; Metazoa; Arthropoda; Insecta; Hemiptera; Machaerotidae.